AAGAAGUAUUGGUUACUCUUUCGUGAAAGAAGAUACCGGCAACGAAAGCAAUUGGUACGGUCCUGUCCGAAGUUUGCCGAACAGAGUCGAGGAUGGCCGAUCUUGGUGGAGGCCCGUAGCCAUGUGUUGCGGUCUGCCGUGAGUGCUUUCUGACAAGGGAGGUGCGGUGUCUGCGUUUUUUCUUUACUCGUCGCAGCCCAGAAAAUCGGGAUUUUUCGAAUAAACAGAGUAAGGUACGUGCAACCACGGCACCCUCGGUGUAGUAUCGAUAAGAUUCGAGAGUGUCCAAGCGGAGGGGGAAUCGAAUAUUUAGAAAAGAAAGUGUAUAUUUCUCGCGCGGCGUCGGCCGAACGAGACGACGAAGAAGGAGCUCUGCUUCGUCUCCCAAUGUACACACGGGUCUACGUUCGGUAUGUGUGUUUGUUUGUGAGUGUGCACGAUCGAAACGGACAGCACCGAUCCGAAGCAGUUGAAGACCGGUAGACGUUCACGUACGCAGCCACUGAGAAACACAGAGAGAGGCAUCGAGUGGAAACGAAGAAAGAGAGAGUGCGCAUGAUAAUCGUAUCCUCGAUAGCUGCCAGAUAGAGACGCACAGGGUGCUGCGUGCAACUUCUCUCCUUUAUACGUUACACGUAUAUAUGCAUACACAUACGUGCACACAUACAUAUAUAUAUAUAUACAUACGGAACACGUACACGUAGCGCGCAUACACACACGCAGACACGUAGGCAAAACACGUACAAACACGCACGCGACGCAUGCACGUAUUAUAUUCUUUCGUUCUCACUCUCAUGGAUGCUCUGUGCUCCUUCCUUUCCCUUUUUUCAUCCUAGUGUCUCUAUCUCUCGAUAGAGCUCCAGCUCGGUGUCUCUCCUCUUGCGUUUGUAGUAGAAUGAACACGCGAGCAAACAACAAACGAACGAAUGCGCACGGGCAUGUUCGGCUCUGUGUUAGUAUUAACGUCCCGUUCGUUGUGUUUUGUGUAUUCUGCUUGUAGCAAAUGUCGCCCGGACGUAUCCUGACUGUCCGCAAAAGUGGAAGAAGAGAAGGAGGCAGCUAUCGAAUCUGCUAUCGGUGCCUGCGAGUGUUGGUCGCGUAAAAGGUGAAUUCGUAUAUACGAUGUACGCGUCCUCGGACUUCAGGAAAGUGCUACGUACCGCUCGUUCCUUCAUCUUGUGUUUGUGUUUAUCGAAUGUGAGGAAAAGUAGUGCACGAUCACGGUGCGUACGUAUCUACCCGCUCGAAAGCUAAAAAGAAUCUUAGCCAGGAGAAUACAGUGGCGGACGCGUCGUAACAUCAGAGGGGGAAAAAAAGGGAGAAAGAAACACGGAGAAAAAGACAAGGUGAAAUGAGUGAGCGAGAGUGAAGGUGGACAAGGUACAUACAACGUUCAUGUACACACACAAAAACACACACACACCGGUUAUAGUUAACGCUACUACCGAAAAAGAAGAGGAACGCCGCGUAGCGUCGCAUGGAUAAUCGAGCCUGUACACUGUACACGAUGCAAAGUGCGUACAGCAGAGAAUACCUGUGUGUCUGUGCGUGCAUACGCGAGCGUAAGCGCGGCCGCCUGUGUAUUUAAACAGUGUGUAUCGAGAUCUGGUUGAGUGAUCCGUCGUUCCUAGUGUGUUCGUUUAUGCGUGAUUAUGUAGGUGCGUGGGAACGAGGUCGCGAGGUGAAUUUACUACGCGCCACGGGACACUCGAUGAUAAAUACCGGGAAAUUCAUCGCAUCUUCUCCUUCGAGCUGGGAUUACCACUUGGGAUGCAGCACUUUUCGAUAAAUUGAUUACGAUCGAUAACACAAGACGGUCACCGAUGAAACAAAAGAAAAGAAAGAGUGGAUUCUC
Molecule: long non-coding RNA, 1855 nt
Organism: Frieseomelitta varia
Lineage: Eukaryota; Metazoa; Arthropoda; Insecta; Hymenoptera; Apidae
Exons: 2
Source: RefSeq, a predicted model, not a curated record